AACGUAGGUCACAAGCGUUGUCCGGAAUUACUGGGUGUAAAGGGAGCGCAGGCGGGAAGACAAGUUGGAAGUGAAAUCCAUGGGCUCAACCCAUGAACUGCUUUCAAAACUGUUUUUCUUGAGUAGUGCAGAGGUAGGUGGAAUUCCCGGUGUAGCGGUGGAAUGCGUAGAUAUCGGGAGGAACACCAGUGGCGAAGGCGGCCUACUGGGCACCAACUGACGCUGAGGCUCGAAAGUGUGGGUAGCAAACAGG
RNAcentral lists this ribosomal RNA (253 nucleotides) under Faecalibacterium prausnitzii. Its description in RNAcentral is "partial 16S ribosomal RNA". It matches the Rfam family "Bacterial small subunit ribosomal RNA", at positions 524 to 776 of the family's 1533-position model. The record is from RNAcentral. Lineage: Bacteria; Bacillati; Bacillota; Clostridia; Eubacteriales; Oscillospiraceae.